ACCGUAUUACUUAAAUUGUCUAAUUUUAAAGAUUACCCUAUUUAGUACAGCAGUGGAAUAUUUAAUAUAUUUUAAGUUUAUUUACUUUUUGUAUAACGGUUAAACUAGAAUUAACGAGAAUAAGUUUUCCCGAAUUAGGAAGAUCUAAAUAUCUAACAUUGUUUUAGCAUGGAGUUUCUAUGUUGCAUUAUGGAAUGAAGAUAGGUGUUUAGGGGCGAAAAGCCUACAAUUCCUAGGAUAUCUGGAUGAUAAGUAAAGGUAUUUAGUACCUAAGACAUGGGUGAGGUGCCGAGAUCUCGCCCGGGGAGAAUGUAUUUUAUCAGGAAUGAUUAAUUUUAGAGGUAAUACUCCUAAAUGAGUGGUUAUUUUAAAAUUCUUCAAAGUAAAUAUCUCUAUAUAACUUGUCUUCUUUCUUGAAUUAAUAAUAAAGUUAAUAAUGUUUAAAUUAGUAAUGAAGUUGAAUUCUAAUUAGUAAAUCUAGGUAAAGGAACUCGGCAAAAAUUGUAUCUCACCUGUUUAUCAAAAACAUAGCCUAAAGAAAUUACCAAUAAUUUUAGGUGAAACCUGCCCAAUGCCUUCACGGUGAAUGGCCGCAGUACCCUGACUGUGCUAAGGUAGCAUAAUCAGUUGGCUUUUAAAUGGAGUCGUGUAUGAAUGGAUUGAUGGGGUUAAGCUGUCUCUACUAGAUUUAUUUGAAUUUAAUGAGGAGGUGAAAAUGCCUCCGUUAAGAUGAAGGACGAUAAGACCCUUGGAGUUUUGACUAGAAAAGUUCAAUUGCUUCGUUGUUUUUGCUGGGGCGGCACAGAGGAAAAUAUUUAACCCUCUGAGGAUUAUAGGCCGAAAGUUUUAAGUGCAGUUAAACUACCCGAGGGAUAACAGCAUUAUUCUAUAUAGAGUUUGUGACCUCGAUGUUGGACUAGGAAUUAAUUAGGCUAGUCGCUUAAAUGUAUUGUUCUGUUCGAACUAUUUUUCCU
RNAcentral lists this ribosomal RNA (974 nucleotides) under Oxynoe viridis. RNAcentral's name for it is "partial 16S ribosomal RNA". It matches the Rfam family "Bacterial large subunit ribosomal RNA", at positions 555 to 2596 of the family's 2925-position model. Lineage: Eukaryota; Metazoa; Mollusca; Gastropoda; Oxynoeidae. The record is from RNAcentral.